Molecule: ribosomal RNA, 760 nt
Filed under: Micropsalliota alba
Lineage: Eukaryota; Fungi; Basidiomycota; Agaricomycetes; Agaricales; Agaricaceae
Description: eukaryotic LSU rRNA
Rfam family: 5.8S ribosomal RNA (bases 237-390)
Source: RNAcentral
UUGCCUUGAUGGGUUGUCGCUGGCUUUGAAACUCAGAGCAUGUGCACACCUGUCUUGGUCUUCUAUUCAUCCAACUGUGCACCUUCUGUAGUCUUUUUGGGGGCUGGGGAAGCAGGUGCAGCUUAUACAGCUGGGCUUGUGAUAACCUCCCACUAGAGGCUAUGUUUUUACAUAUACCACUUAGAAUGUAACAGAAUGUUGUCAAUGGGCACUUGUGGCCUAUAUAAAACCUAUACAACUUUCAGCAACGGAUCUCUUGGCUCUCGCAUCGAUGAAGAACGCAGCGAAAUGCGAUAAGUAAUGUGAAUUGCAGAAUUCAGUGAAUCAUCGAAUCUUUGAACGCACCUUGCGCUCCUUGGCAUUCCGAGGAGCAUGCCUGUUUGAGUGUCAUUAAAUUCUCAACCCCACCAGCUUUUGUGGCUGGCUCUUGGGGCUUGGAUUGUGAGGUUUUGCUGGCUGCAAGGUCAGCUCCUCUGAAAUGCAUUACGCGGAACCGUUUGCGAUCCGUCACAGGUGUGAUAAUUAUCUACGCCUAGUGGGUUGCUUUCUGUCUUGUUCAGCUUAUAAUCGUCCUCAUGGACAAUUUAUUGAACGCUUGACCUCAAAUCAGGUAGGAUUACCCGCUGAACUUAAGCAUAUCAAUAAGCGGAGGAAAAGAAACUAACAAGGAUUCCCCUAGUAACUGCGAGUGAAGCGGGAAAAGCUCAAAUUUAAAAUCUGGCAGUCUUUGGCUGUCCGAGUUGUAAUCUAGAAAAGUAAU